RNAcentral lists this ribosomal RNA (507 nucleotides) under uncultured bacterium. RNAcentral describes it as "partial 16S ribosomal RNA". It matches the Rfam family "Bacterial small subunit ribosomal RNA", at positions 28 to 507 of the family's 1533-position model. The record is from RNAcentral.
GACGAACGCUGGCGGCGUGCCUAAUACAUGCCAGUCGAACGCAUUUUCUUUCACCGUAGCUUGCUACACCGAAAGAAAAUGAGUGGCGAACGGGUGAGUAACACGUGGGUAACCUGCCCAUCAGCGGGGGAUAACACUUGGAAACAGGUGCUAAUACCGCAUAAUUCCAUUUCCCGCAUGGUAGAUGGAUAAAGGGCGCUUUGGCUCCCCGGUGGAUGGGCCCCGCGGUGCAUUAGCUAGUUGGUGGGGUAACGGCCUACCAAGGCUGCGAUGCAUAGCCGACCUGAGAGGGUGAUCGGCCACACUGGGACUGAGACACGGCCCAGACUCCUACGGGAGGCAGCAGUAGGGAAUCUUCGGCAAUGGACACAAGUCUGACCGAGCAACGCCGCGUGAGUGAAGAAGGUUUUCGGAUCGUAAAACUCUGUUGUUAGAGAAGAACAAGGAUGAGAGUGGAAAGUUCAUCCCUUGACGGUAUCUAACCAGAAAGCCACGGCUAACUACGUG